CCCUUAGAUGUUCUGGGCCGCACGCGUGCUACACUGAGUGGAUCAGCGGGUCAGGUUACGCGAGAGCGUUUCCUAAUCUUCAAAUCCGCUCGUGAUGGGGAUUGACGGUUGCAAUUUUCCGUCAUGAACGAGGAAUACCUUGUAAGCGCGGGUCAUCAUCCCGCGCUGAAUACGUCCCUGCCCUUUGUACACACCGCCCGUCGCUCCUACCGAUUGAGUGGUCCGGUGAGGCUUUGGGAUCUAAGCGAAAAGAGCGUUUCGCUCCUUUUGCUGGGAGAACUCAAUCGAACCUUAUCAUUUAGAGGAAGGAGAAGUCGUAACA
RNAcentral lists this ribosomal RNA (322 nucleotides) under uncultured eukaryote. RNAcentral's name for it is "partial 18S ribosomal RNA". It matches the Rfam family "Eukaryotic small subunit ribosomal RNA", at positions 1470 to 1796 of the family's 1831-position model. The record is from RNAcentral.